Molecule: ribosomal RNA, 350 nt
Filed under: Myroides odoratus
Lineage: Bacteria; Pseudomonadati; Bacteroidota; Flavobacteriia; Flavobacteriales; Flavobacteriaceae
Description: bacterial SSU rRNA
Rfam family: Bacterial small subunit ribosomal RNA
Source: RNAcentral
GGGGUAUAGAGAGCUUGCUUUCUAGAGACCGGCGGAUGGGUGAGUAACGCGUAUGCAACCUACCUUUUACAGGGGAAUAGCCCGGAGAAAUUCGGAUUAAUGCUCCAUGGUUUAUAUGAAUGGCAUCGUUUGUAUAAUAAAGAUUUAUCGGUAAAAGAUGGGCAUGCGUAUCAUUAGCUAGUUGGUGUGGUAACGGCAUACCAAGGCUACGAUGAUUAGGGGUCCUGAGAGGGAGAUCCCCCACACUGGUACUGAGACACGGACCAGACUCCUACGGGAGGCAGCAGUGAGGAAUAUUGGUCAAUGGAGGCAACUCUGAACCAGCCAUGCCGCGUGCAGGAUGACGGUCC